RNAcentral lists this transfer RNA (69 nucleotides) under Marmota monax (woodchuck). Its description in RNAcentral is "tRNA.Ala". The record is from RNAcentral. Lineage: Eukaryota; Metazoa; Chordata; Mammalia; Rodentia; Sciuridae.
GGGUGUAGCUCAAUGGUAGAGUCCUUGCCUAGCAUGCUUGAGCACCUGGGUUUAAUCCCCAGUGCCGCA